This 494-nucleotide ribosomal RNA is filed under the name uncultured bacterium. Its description in RNAcentral is "partial 16S ribosomal RNA". It matches the Rfam family "Bacterial small subunit ribosomal RNA", at positions 28 to 507 of the family's 1533-position model. The record is from RNAcentral.
GACGAACGCUGGCGGCGUGCUUAACACAUGCAAGUCGAACGGAAAGGCCUGCUUUCCCUUGUGGAUUGCGGGUACUCGAGUGGCGAACGGGUGAGUAACACGUGAGUGAUCUGCCCCCAACUUGGGUAUAAGCCUGGGAAACUGGGUCUAAUUCCCGAUAGGACUGCAGGGUGGUGCCUGUGGUGGAAAACGAUUUUCUAGUGGUUGGGGAUGAGCUCGCGGCCUAUCAGCUUGUUGGUGGGGUAAUGGCCUACCAAGGCGGCGACGGGUAGCCGGCCUGGGAGGGUGGACGGCCACAUUGGGACUGAGAUACGGCCCAGACUCCUACGGGAGGCAGCAGUGGGGAAUAUUGCACAAUGGGCGGAAGCCUGAUGCAGCGACGCCGCGUGGGAGAUGACGGCCUUCGGGUUGUAAGCUCCUUUCGACCGCGAGGAAGCCACCUGGUUGGAAGGGUGGUGACGGUAGUGGUAGAAGAAGCACCGGCUAACUACGUG